CUUGUACUCCCUCCAUCUGAAAUUACUUGUCGUAGAAAUGGAUGUAUCUAGACGUUUUUUUAGUUCUAGACACAUCCAUUUCUAUUUAUUUCAGCGACAAGUAAUUCCAGAUGGAAGGGGUACAAC
Molecule: non-coding RNA, 126 nt
Organism: Triticum urartu
Lineage: Eukaryota; Viridiplantae; Streptophyta; Magnoliopsida; Poales; Poaceae
Source: Rfam